GUUAGCUCAUUGUUACAUCAAGGAAGGAACUGAUAUAUACCAGAAUUAGAAGACAAAGCUUUCUGUUGUAGAUGGGGAAAGAGGCACCUCUAUCCCCUCUAUAGUUCCUGACUAUACCAGAACUCUCACCAGCAACUGUUUACUGUGAGCCACAAAGCAUAUAGGAAAUCAAGAUACUUGCUACAUUUUGGUAUUCUCUACUGCUGGUUUAUUUGUGAGGCUCAAGAUCCCUGGUCUGCACAUAUCCCUCUAUAUGGUGAGAUGCUUUCGUAAACUACCUCAUCACUAUCUUAUCGAAUAAGAGAGUAAAAGUCCUGGAAUCAACACUUUUGAGACUGAGUCUGAGACUGAGAAGAAAGGACAAAGCUGACCCAUUCCUCCCAGGCAGAGCUCUCAGGAUUUGGUCUCAUGGUGAUGCCUCCAUUGCAGCGCAGCUUACAGCCUCAAUGAACAUGUCUGGAUCAGGAUCUUCUUCUGAGUCAGUAAGGGAAUUCAUUCUUCUGGGUUUUCCCUGCAGCAAGGAGAUUCAAGUUGUUGUUCUCAAUCACCUAUCCUGACUCUCAUGGGAAAUGGAGCUAUUAUUGGUGCUGUGUGUUGGG
This is a long non-coding RNA of Canis lupus familiaris (dog), 599 nucleotides long. RefSeq lists it as uncharacterized. The transcript has 4 exons. The record is from RefSeq and is a predicted model, not a curated record. Lineage: Eukaryota; Metazoa; Chordata; Mammalia; Carnivora; Canidae.